AGUGAACGCUGGCGGUAGGCCUAACACAUGCAAGUCGAACGGCAGCACAGUAAUAGCUUGCUCUUACGGGUGGCGAGUGGCGGACGGGUGAGGAAUACAUCGGAAUCUACUUUUUCGUGGGGGAUAACGUAGGGAAACUUACGCUAAUACCGCACACGACCUACGGGUGAAAGCAGGGGAUCUUCGGACCUUGCGCGAUUGAAUGAGCCGAUGUCGGAUUAGCUAGUUGGCGGGGUAAAGGCCCACCAAGGCGACGAUCCGUAGCUGGUCUGAGAGGAUGAUCAGCCACACUGGAACUGAGACACGGUCCAGACUCCUACGGGAGGCAGCAGUGGGGAAUAUUGGACAAUGGGCGCAAGCCUGAUCCAGCCAUACCGCGUGGGUGAAGAAGGCCUUCGGGUUGUAAAGCCCUUUUGUUGGGAAAGAAAAGCAGCAGGUUAAUACCCCGCUGUUCUGACGGUACCCAAAGAAUAAGCACCGGCUAACUUCGUG
This 492-nucleotide ribosomal RNA is filed under the name uncultured bacterium. RNAcentral's name for it is "partial 16S ribosomal RNA". It matches the Rfam family "Bacterial small subunit ribosomal RNA", at positions 29 to 507 of the family's 1533-position model. The record is from RNAcentral.